GGGGUAAUAGCUCAGUGGUAGAGUGUGUGCUUAGCAUGCACAAGGUCCUGGAUUCAAUCCCCAGCACUUCUA
This 72-nucleotide transfer RNA is filed under the name Camelus bactrianus (Bactrian camel). It matches the Rfam family "tRNA". From Rfam's summary of the family: Transfer RNA (tRNA) molecules are approximately 80 nucleotides in length. Their secondary structure includes four short double-helical elements and three loops (D, anti-codon, and T loops). RNAcentral also lists the same sequence under 2 other names. The record is from Rfam by way of RNAcentral. Lineage: Eukaryota; Metazoa; Chordata; Mammalia; Artiodactyla; Camelidae.